Molecule: ribosomal RNA, 1384 nt
Filed under: Vibrio parahaemolyticus
Lineage: Bacteria; Pseudomonadati; Pseudomonadota; Gammaproteobacteria; Vibrionales; Vibrionaceae
Description: bacterial SSU rRNA
Rfam family: Bacterial small subunit ribosomal RNA
Source: RNAcentral
CGAGUUAUCUGAAAAACCUUCGGGGGACGAUAACGGCGUCGAGCGGCGGACGGGUGAGUAAUGCCUAGGAAUUGCCCUGAUGUGGGGGAUAACCAUUGGAAACGAUGGCUAAUACCGCAUGAUGCCUACGGGCCAAAGAGGGGGACCUUCGGGCCUCUCGCGUCAGGAUAUGCCUAGGUGGGAUUAGCUAGUUGGUGAGGUAAGGGCUCACCAAGGCGACGAUCCCUAGCUGGUCUGAGAGGAUGAUCAGCCACACUGGAACUGAGACACGGUCCAGACUCCCACCGGAGGCAACAAUGGGGAAUAUUGGAAAAUGGGCGCAAGCCUGAUGCAGCCAUGCCGCGUGUGUGAAGAAGGCCUUCGGGUUGUAAAGCACUUUCAGUCGUGAGGAAGGUAGUGUACGGUUAAUAGCUCUGCAUUAUUUGACGUUAGCGACAGAAGAAGCACCGGCUAACUCCGUGCCAGCAGCCGCGGUAAUACGGAGGGUGCGAGCGUUAAUCGGAAUUACUGGGCGGUAAAGCGCAUGCAGGUGGUUUGUUAAGUCAGAUGUGAAAGCCCGGGGCUCAACCUCGGAAUUGCAUUUGAAACUGGCAGACUAGAGUACUGUAGAGGGGGGUAGAAUUUCAGGUGUAGCGGUGAAAUGCGUAGAGAUCUGAAGGAAUACCCGGUGGCCGAAGGCGGCCCCCUGGACAGAUACUGACACUCAGAUGCGAAAGCGUGGGAGCAAACAGGAUUAGAUACCCUGGUAGUCCACGCCGUAAACGAUGUCUACUUGGAGGUUGUGGCCUUGAGCCGUGGCUUUCGGAGCUAACGCGUUAAGUAGACCGCCUGGGGAGUACGGUCGCAAGAUUAAAACUCAAAAGAAUUGACGGGGGCCCGCACAAGCGGUGGAGCAUGUGGUUUAAUUCGAUGCAACGCGAAGAACCUUACCUACUCUUGACAUCCAGAGAACUUUCCAGAGAUGGAUUGGUGCCUUCGGGAACUCUGAGACAGGUGCUGCAUGGCUGUCGUCAGCUCGUGUUGUGAAAUGUUGGGUUAAGUCCCGCAACGAGCGCAACCCUUAUCCUUGUUUGCCAGCGAGUAAUGUCGGGAACUCCAGGGAGACUGCCGGUGAUAAACCGGAGGAAGGUGGGGACGACGUCAAGUCAUCAUGGCCCUUACGAGUAGGGCUACACACGUGCUACAAUGGCGCAUACAGAGGGCGGCCAACUUGCGAAAGUGAGCGAAUCCCAAAAAGUGCGUCGUAGUCCGGAUUGGAGUCUGCAACUCGACUCCAUGAAGUCGGAAUCGCUAGUAAUCGUGGAUCAGAAUGCCACGGUGAAUACGUUCCCGGGCCUUGUACACACCGCCCGUCACACCAUGGGAGUGGGCUGCAAAAGAAGUA